CAAUAGCGUAUCUUAAAGUUGUUGCAGUUAAAAAGCUCGUAGUUGGAUUUCUGGUGGGAGCGAUCGGUCUGGCGCUUAGCGCGAGUACUUGCAUCGUCUCCGGCCAUCCUUGGGGAGAGUCUGUCUGGCAUUAGGUUGUCGGGCAGAGGAUCCUCAUCGUUUACUGUGAAAAAAUUAGAGUGUUCAAAGCAGGCUUAUGCCGUUGAAUAUAUUAGCAUGGAAUAAUAAGAUAGGACUUUGGUACUAUUUUGUUGGUUUGCGCACCAAAGUAAUGAUUAAUAGGGACAGUUGGGGGUAUUCGUAUUCCGUUGUCAGAGGUGAAAUUCUUGGAUUUACGGAAGACGAACUACUGCGAAAGCAUUUACCAAGGAUGUUUUCAUUAA
RNAcentral lists this ribosomal RNA (383 nucleotides) under uncultured eukaryote. RNAcentral describes it as "partial 18S ribosomal RNA". It matches the Rfam family "Eukaryotic small subunit ribosomal RNA", at positions 592 to 976 of the family's 1831-position model. The record is from RNAcentral.